Molecule: ribosomal RNA, 270 nt
Filed under: uncultured bacterium
Lineage: Bacteria
Description: partial 16S ribosomal RNA
Rfam family: Bacterial small subunit ribosomal RNA
Source: RNAcentral
AAGUCUUUACGGAGAAAGCUUUAUGCACCAUUGGAUGAGCCUGCACUUGAUUAGUUUGUUGGUAGGGUAAUGGCCUACCAAGACUGUGAUCAAUAGCUGAUUUGAGAGGAUGAUCAGCCACAUUGGGACUGAGACACGGCCCAAACUCCUACGGGAGGCAGCAGUGGGGAAUCUUGCACAAUGGAGGAAACUCUGAUGCAGCGAUGCCGCGUGAGUGAAGAAGGCCUUUGGGUUGUAAAGCUCUUUCGUCGGGGAAGAAAAUGACUGUAC